CAAAGAUUAGAUGCACAUGAUGUCUAGGUAUAAAUACGCCUUUUCAGCCCCUUCAUGUUUGCUGUGGAACUCUGGGGGAGCCUACAGGGAUUUUAGGAUUUUCGUGUUGUCUGAGACUGUUGAGUAAUUAUGAAAAAUAAACUCUCCAAGCAAGAUCUGAUUGAAUUAUUUGGUCUCCUCCUUCUUGGCUCCUGUAUUGUGCUCAUAGGAUGUCUGUCAUUUGGAAGGAAGGGUGAUGCAAGAUGGAGUAAAGUCACGACCAUCCAGGACCUCGAGAGGAAGAUGGCACAUGAGCCAUGUAGUCCACCAAGAGCGCCCAGCACACUUGGGUACUUGUUCUGGAGCACUGGGCAGGUAGCCGUGAUUCACCGUGGUGCCACACACAUGGAGACCAACGGGUGACGAUUCCCAGCAAGGGGUCAUCCUCUUCCGAAAUCUUGAGGAGCCUCCUACAUGGGGAUCUAUGCCGAGGGGUGGUCACUGCUGGCGGUGUUGAAUUCAUAAAACACUUUCUGCAUGAUGCUGUUUACUUUCAAUAAUUUGAAAGCUAUCUCUAACCCUUGUGAGUCAGAAGAACAGACUGAAUCAGAAAUGCAAUAACUUUGAUCACAUAACAGCACAAUGAUCAUAUGUUAAGGCAUCACCCAGAUCACCCAGUCUUCUUAGAGAUUCUUUCUGACAUUGCUCCAAGAUCAUGUCCCAAAUUCAGAAAGAACACUUGGAAAUGAUUUGUGUCUGUCACGUAAGAGAUACCUAUUUGGUCUCCAGCCUGUUUGGUACCUGGAUUUCUGAAGUGGUAAGUGUCUUGCUGUUUGCUAAUGAGAUGACUGGGAGCUCCUGGACAGCCUCAGGGUGGGGGCUGAUUGCCAAGGGAACCAAGCUAGUGAUUAGAGAGUUGGAACUUUCAGCUCCACACCUUAAUCUCUGGGGAGGAGAGAUGAUCAAGUUAAUCACUAUAGGCCAACGAUUUAAUCAGUUGUGUCUACAGUAAUGGGGUCUUCAUAAAAAAUAAAUGAAAAUAAACCCUAAGCGAAGAGGUGUGGCGAGCUUCUGGGUUGUUGAACACAUGGAGGUGCCAGGAGGCCCUGUUCUCCACCCUGGGCAUCUCCUCCAUCUGGCUGUUCCUGAGUUGUAUCCUUGUACAAUGCACUGUAAUCUAGUGAGUCAACUGUUAUUCUGAUUUCUGGAGCUGUUCUAGCAAAUUAUCAAGCCUCUAGUUUAUAGCUGGUCCAUCAGAAUCACAGGUGACAAUCUGGACGUGUCAGCAUCUGAAGUGGAGGAGGGAAGUCUUGAGGGCCUGAGCUCUUAAACCUCUAAGAUCUGACUCUAAUUCCAGGCAGUGUCAAAACUGAUUUAAAGGACCCAUAGUUGGUGUCUAUAAAUAACUGGAGAAUUGCUUGCUGUAAGGGAGGGAUAAAAAUUCGUAUUACGAGACCAGACGAAUUUUUCCACACCAGUUUUUCCCUAACACCAGUGCCUAACACAAAGCGUGGUACUGGUCCAAAAUGAAUUAAGUACAGAAACUGAGAGUAGGUGCCCAGAAACACUUUACAGGAACUUGACAUUGGUGCAACAUCCAAGCUUGGGGUCAGCAGCAAAGGGCGGAGACCACUCAGGUAUUUGUCUCCCUCUCAGGGGGAGCUGCCGGAGAAGGCAAUGGCACCCCACUCCAGUACUCUUGCCUGGAAAAUCCCAUGGAUGGAGGAGCCUGCUAGGCUGCAGUCCAGGGGGUCGCUAAGAGUCAGACACGACUAAGGGACUUCACUUUCACUUUUUACUUUCAUGCAUUGGAGAAGGAGAUGGCAACCCACUCCAGUGUUCUUGCCUGGAGAAUCCCAGGGACGGGGGAGCCUGGUGGGCUUCCGUCUAUGGGGUCGCACAGAGUCAGAAACGACUGAAGCGACUUAGCAGCAGCAGCAGCAGCAGCAGGGGGAGCUGCAGGCCUGAGCCAAGCAGGAGUCACAAACAGCAGGACCUGGAGCAUAUGCAAAAAUCUAAAAAAUAUAAUUUGUGCAGCAUGGCUACGCCUUGGACAUUCCCUAGAUUACCACUAGAUGGUGACCAAGGAUCUUCUCCCUGACGGCUUGCAUGAUCUUUGGAAUGGCUCCUCCAAUUGAGAAAGAAGGCAUUUCAUGUGCUAAAGCUUCUCCAGUGUAGUCUGGCAGAAUUGUCAGACCUUUCCUAUUUGUAAAGCCCAUACAGAAGGCAAUUCAGUCUCCCUUGUAUGGAAUGUGCUGCGUGCCAAGUCACUUCAGUUGUGUUCAACACUGUGCAACCCCAUGGACUGUAGCUCGCCAGGCUCCUCUAUCCAUGGGAUUCUUC
This is a long non-coding RNA of Bos taurus (domestic cattle), 2322 nucleotides long. NCBI's taxonomy places the organism in Eukaryota, Metazoa, Chordata, Mammalia, Artiodactyla, Bovidae. The record is from Ensembl.